CAAUGUACCAUGGCAAUCAGUGGGGGAGGCUGAGCACUGCCAGGGGGAAGCUGGAAGUGGGAGUCAGAUAGAACAACAUCAGAUGCCAGUCUUGUCCAGCAGGUACCAGAUCAUAGUCCAGGCCUGGCAAAGAGCAGGCACUCAGAGAGUACUCCUGGAACUGGAUGAAGCAGAGAAAGGCUUCCCCAAGGUGCCCUCAGAUCUAGUUCAAAUGAUCAUACCAAACCACCUCAACAAUCCACAGCUUAGUUUGCUGCACAGUUUACUGUCAUGUAGAAGAAUCUCUGUACCACGAGUGACACGCAGCACUAUACUGUAUUGCUACCCUGUGAGGCAAUUCUAGAAUAACUGACAAAAUUAACCUCAAGGAAAAUAAAGGAUUUAUCUAGGAUGAUUUACAGACUUCAAAAUUAAACGAAAGAGAAUGCAUGGCAACCACCAACAGCCCACCACACACACUCAGCCCCUCUCCUGGAAAGGCUGGGAGGUGUGCGGAUGCUAUGACUGGCACUGUUUAGAGACAAACUGCCCUUGAAUAUAGAUAUACG
This is a long non-coding RNA of Heterocephalus glaber (naked mole-rat), 548 nucleotides long. Lineage: Eukaryota; Metazoa; Chordata; Mammalia; Rodentia; Bathyergidae. The record is from Ensembl.